Ictidomys tridecemlineatus (thirteen-lined ground squirrel) is the source of this 1206-nucleotide non-coding RNA. The record is from RefSeq and is a predicted model, not a curated record. NCBI's taxonomy places the organism in Eukaryota, Metazoa, Chordata, Mammalia, Rodentia, Sciuridae.
UCAAUCUGGGGAUGGACAGCAAGGCAGCCAGUCUCACUGAUGUCCUUGGAGCAGCCUCAUUAAUGUAGCAAAACAAGUGACUUAAAUAUAGUUCCAAGUUGAUGGUGUACAUUGCUGAUUGGUUACACCCAGUGAAAGUCAAUGUCCAUUGGUUAUGUCCAGUGAGAUGAUAUAAUUGCAACAGGGUAUGUUCUUUGUGCAUGUCCAUGGAGCUGUGCUCCCUAUUGAUUGUAACCAGUAAUUGUUAAAUGUGCCUAUGGUUAGUGCCCCUUAUAGCUCCUUAUUAAUUGCAACCAGAUAUGACUAAGAAUGCCUAUGGCUGCUGUUCCUUAUGGCCAGCAACUUAGUGAGUCCCAGCAUAUCCCAACAUGUUUAUGGCAGAUGCUCUUUAUACCUGGCCAUUGUCCAUUUGCAACUCAGUCUUUGAAACACAAUUUUAAAAUGUUUUUCUGAUAUAUACUUAUUGUGAAAAAUUUGGAAAAUAUUUUUUAAAUCAUAAUCCUACCCACCUACACAAACACGCACACCUAGGAAUAAAUAAAUGACAGAUUUUAUAUAACUGAAAUUAUGUACAUUUUGUAACCACCUUGCUUUUAUUAAAUAAAAAGUUAUUCAGUGACAGCAGAUAAAGAAUGAAGAGUUAUGGAAAAUGAUAAUCUGCAAAACAACCCCCAAAGAAAAGCAGAGAGACAAUGCUGCUCUGGAGGAGGGAAGGGAAACUAGCCAAGUAUUAUUAUCCUUCCAAUAAAUUCUUUCCUGAUAAAACAGGGGCCCUGAAGGAAGGAUGUGGGAGGCUGACUAGCAUGUGACCAUGUCCGACUCCCCUGCUGACCUGUGCAGCAUCCGGCAGUCAUGCUGUGAUCUGGAGAGCCCCUGUCUUCUAAGAUCUUGGUUCCCCUGGAAUGACCCUGAGUGUUUUAGUCGAGUACGACCCGACAGAAGGAGUCGAAUACUGAAACCCUGGGAGACAAUAACUUCCAGAAAAAAGAAAUGCCCAUCCCUCAUAAUCUGGACUCCUAUCUCUUCAAGAAACAAUGAGUUUCAACCUUUUACAGCUUCCCUUCUGAGUUAAAACUUUUAACCUACAUAACUAGCCCCUGACUGUCUGAAACCACCCUAACUGUACCCUAUAAACCAAAAUCCUCUCUGUAAACAAUGGCCAUUUUCGAAUUCAGUACCUGGAGAACAAUAAAUGGUUUCCCUGAA